GACGGAGGGGGCUAGCGUUGUUCGGAAUGACUGGGCGUAAAGGGCGCGUAGGCGGUAUAUUAAGUGAGGCGUGAAAGCCCUGGGCUUAACCCAGGAUGUGCGUUUCAUACUGGUAUGCUAGAGUGCGAGAGAGGAAAGUGGAAUUCCUAGUGUAGAGGUGAAAUUCGUAGAUAUUAGGAAGAACACCAGAGGCGAAGGCGGCUUUCCGGCUCGCAACUGACGCUGAGGCGCGAAAGCGUGGGGAGCAAACAGG
RNAcentral lists this ribosomal RNA (253 nucleotides) under uncultured bacterium. RNAcentral's name for it is "partial 16S ribosomal RNA". It matches the Rfam family "Bacterial small subunit ribosomal RNA", at positions 524 to 776 of the family's 1533-position model. The record is from RNAcentral.